UGGCGAUGAGGACAAACCACAGCUAUGAUUCACAGUGAUUCACCUAUACGCUAUUCUGAGCCAAAC
Lethenteron reissneri (Far Eastern brook lamprey) is the source of this 66-nucleotide small nucleolar RNA. RefSeq annotates it as small nucleolar RNA U54. The record is from RefSeq and is a predicted model, not a curated record. Lineage: Eukaryota; Metazoa; Chordata; Hyperoartia; Petromyzontiformes; Petromyzontidae.